This 1421-nucleotide long non-coding RNA is filed under the name Salvator merianae (Argentine black and white tegu). RNAcentral's name for it is "lncRNA (ENSSMRG00000010663.1)". The record is from RNAcentral. Lineage: Eukaryota; Metazoa; Chordata; Lepidosauria; Squamata; Teiidae.
AUGGCCUCCGAGAUCCCGUCCAGUUUCAUCAAGGGCCGCGGCAGCUCCUGGAAACCGGCGGAGAUCGUGGACCUGCUGAGCAUCUGGGGUGCCGAGAAGGUGCAGCAGCAGCUCCGCCGCAGCCACCGCAACUUCGAGUGCUUCGUGGCCAUCGCGAGGGAGAUGCGGCGCCGCGGCCACAAGCGCACGGCCGAGGAGUGCCGCCGGAAGACCAAGGGCCUCCGGUUGGACUACAAGCGGGCGCUGAGCCUCGACGGGCCCGCCUUGCUGAGCGGCAGCAAGGCCAUCUGCCCCUACUUCGAGGAGCUGCACUCGAUCCUGCGCGGGGACCCGUCGGUGACGCCCAGGCGCCUGGGAAAGAGGCGGCCCGAGGCCGAGGAGGGGUCGGAGGCGGGACCCAGCGCCGCCUUUUCCCUCGGGCCCCAAGACCUUUUGCUGGACGAGCUGCCGGGCCUCGACGUGCAGGGGCACCGCGACCCCUCACCAAGCGGCGAUGAUGAUGGGGAGGGCGACCUUGACGCACAGGGCGGUGAUGCCCAAGGGGUUGACCGCAGCUCUCCAAAGGGAGUCGCCGAUGCGGAUGCUGGCGAAGAUGUAAAUAGCAACCAUAGCCCAGCCGAGGACUUACUAUUUGAAGCUCCGGUGGGAGAAGGGACAGGCGAGGAUAACAGCAACCACAGAGGAAGCAACGAACAGGAUUACGAUGUGGGCCCUCCUCCAAGACCUAUGGAACCCUCCUCUUCAGGUUUGCCGACUUGCGGCUUAGCAGCUUACCAGUCUCCAGCCACCAGACUUGCCGCCCUUAGGACCAAACGGAAGGGCUUUGGCCCACGGGAACUUGUGGAACGUGUUAUUCGGCACGCAACCACUGAGAGCCGGAGAGCAAGGGAAGCUGCCCAGGAGAUGGACCAAGCGCUGCUCCGACAGAGCACAGAGGAGCUCCAGAGAAUAGAGAGGGCAGAGCAAGAGUGCAGAGAGCAUAGGGAAAGGUUGCUGUCCAUUUUUGAACGUCAGACGGCCCUGCUUGAGGCCCUGGUUUCCCACUUGUGUACCAACCCGGGUGCCGGUGACCCACGCGCCUCCAACAGGACACAGCCUCAGAUGGGUUCUCCAAAGCGUGGUCUUUCCCCUCCCUGUGACCCAGAGAUGGCCGAGCACUGGCGCACAGCAAGUGGGGGGGACGUGAGUUUUGAUGUGGGGGUCGCCCACCCGGCCACAACCCCUCCUCAGACCUCUACCCUCGCAGCAGCAUGCCAAGAGCCUGAGACAGCCCACAAGGCACCGGAGAUAUUUUCCCCUUGAUCCCGUUACAGACAGGACAGUGAGGUUCUUUCAUGUUUUUAUACGUAAACCACCGUCUCCCAAGAAGUUAUAAAACCCAUUGGCACUUCUUAAAUAAAUUGGAUUAAAAAUAAAUGGCA